UUCACUAAAAGUAAACAUAUAUUAUUGAUAAACAGAAAAAACAGCUACAGGACAACACCAACAUUUUAUGCCAUGUAAUAUAAAACUGAUUUUCUAACAAUGUGAAAUAGAGAGUACCAAACCUAUGAAGUUAUGUAUGGUAAAUGAUCCUAAGAAAGUGGGGGAAUAGAAAUUAGAAGCAGUCUGGUCAAGUGAAAGGGAAGAAAAAAAAAAAAAGGCCAAGCCAUAGGGAAGGGUCCCAAAGACCAAUUCCAAAGAAGGAAUAAUAAUUGGUCACACCACACAUACAGAGUGAUGAUACCUUC
Molecule: long non-coding RNA, 305 nt
Filed under: Cicer arietinum (chickpea)
Lineage: Eukaryota; Viridiplantae; Streptophyta; Magnoliopsida; Fabales; Fabaceae
Description: long non-coding RNA (CARI_LNC001101)
Source: RNAcentral